Long non-coding RNA from Trifolium pratense (red clover), 763 nucleotides. RefSeq lists it as uncharacterized. The record is from RefSeq and is a predicted model, not a curated record. NCBI's taxonomy places the organism in Eukaryota, Viridiplantae, Streptophyta, Magnoliopsida, Fabales, Fabaceae. The transcript is spliced from 2 exons.
UUAGCUUCUUAUUCAAGAAUGAAGUUGCGUGGAAUGAACUUUGAAGUUCCCAAACUGGAGGUAUUGAACUUGUCACGUACAGAUGUUGAUGAUGAAGCGCUCUAUAUGAUCUCAAAGAGUUGUCGUGGGCUUUUGCAACUGUUACUGGAACGUUGUUGUAAUGUCACAGAGAAAGGGGUAAAGCAUGUUGUAGAAAACUGCACACAACUUAGAGAGAUCAAUUUAAUGAGGUGUGAAAAAGUGCAUCCUAAUGUCGUUGCCUCAAUGGUAUUAUCAAGGCCAUCAUUGAGAAAGAUAAUUGCUCCAGCUUGUUAUUGUUUCAGUGACAUAGAAAGGGAACUCUUCUCGCGUCAAAGAUGCCUUGUUUGCUAUUCGUAGCAUUCUCAAACUGCACUGGUGAAGUUUAAACUCUGAAAUGGAUUCAAAAUCCAUUGGAAGGACCUAAAGGGAAUUAAAGAUGCUAAUGCAACUUUGGUUUGGUUUUUGCUGAGUUGAGUCAUGCUACAUCAGGGGAAGCUUGCAGAUGUGGUUGCCAAAGAAUUUGGCGAGUGGCUAAAUCAUUAUUUGUUGGCAUCUACAGUAAUUAAAGAACAGAAGGUGAAAAUUACAUUACAGUAACUAAGGAAGACAGGGUGAAUUGUUGUUCAGAGAGUAAAUACGUAUAUGCUUAAUUUGAUCUUCAGGUUUUGUAGGAAGUAAUUGUAGCUUGGUUUCAUGUUAUAAUAACAAUUUCGUAUAAGCCAUACAUACCUUUUGGCAGAAA